CCUACGGGGGGCAGCAGUGGGGAAUAUUGGGCAUUGGGCGCAAGCCUGACCCAGCAACGCCGCGUGAAGGAAGAAGGCUUUCGGGUUGUAAACUUCUUUUGUCAGGGAAGAGUAGAAGACGGUACCUGACGAAUAAGCCACGGCUAACUACGUGCCAGCAGCCGCGGUAAUACGUAGGUGGCAAGCGUUGUCCGGAUUUACUGGGUGUAAAGGGCGUGUAGCCGGGUUGACAAGUCAGAUGUGAAAUCCUGCGGCUUAACCGCAGAACUGCAUUUGAAACUGUUGAUCUUGAGUACUGGAGAGGCAGACGGAAUUCCUAGUGUAGAGGUGAAAUGCGUAGAUAUUAGGAGGAACACCAGUGGCGAAGGCGGUCUGCUGGACAGCAACUGACGGUGAGGCGCGAAAGCGUGGGGAGCAAACAGGAUUAGAUACCCCAGUAGUC
RNAcentral lists this ribosomal RNA (442 nucleotides) under uncultured bacterium. Its description in RNAcentral is "partial 16S ribosomal RNA". It matches the Rfam family "Bacterial small subunit ribosomal RNA", at positions 338 to 795 of the family's 1533-position model. The record is from RNAcentral.